GAUGAACGCUGGCGGCGUGCCUAAUACAUGCAAGUCGAGCGGUAAGGCCCUUCGGGGUACACGAGCGGCGGACGGCUGAGUAACACGUAGGAACGUACCCCAAACUGAGGGAUAGGCACCAGAAAUGGUGUCUAAUACCGCAUGUGGCCUUCGGGCUAAAGCUCCGGCGGUUUGGGAACGGCCUGCGUCCGACUAGCUAGUUGGUAGUGUAAUGGACUACCAAGGCGACGAUCGGUAGCUGGUCUGAGAGGAUGAUCAGCCAGACUGGGACUGAGACACGGCCCAGACUCCUACGGGAGGCAGCAGUAGGGAAUUUUCCACAAUGGGGGCAACCCUGAUGGAGCAACGCGGCGUGCAGGAUGAAGGCCUUCGGGUUGUAAACUGCUUUUAUCUGUGACGAUUAUGACGGUAGCAGAUGAAUAAGGACCUGCUAACUACGUGCCAGCCGCCGCCGUAA
RNAcentral lists this ribosomal RNA (457 nucleotides) under uncultured bacterium. Its description in RNAcentral is "partial 16S ribosomal RNA". It matches the Rfam family "Bacterial small subunit ribosomal RNA", at positions 28 to 523 of the family's 1533-position model. The record is from RNAcentral.